CCUUUGUUGUCUCCGUUUUUCAAGAAAAUAUUGAUUUUACAGUAGUUAUUCCAACGAUUUAAGGAGUAUUAUGAAGUUUUACUAAAUUAAUUGAUAAAAAAUUAUAACGAUUCUCAUAUACCAUGAAAUAGAGCUUAAAAUACAUUAAUACAAAAGUAGAAUGUGGUUAGAAAUUUUAAAACAACACCAUGGAUCAUAGGAUUCAUUAUAUAAAACAUUUACCAAAAACACAAUAUUUUUGUAGAGGGUAACACAUGAACUUUGAGAAAAUUUCAAAAAAUAUGACAAUAUUGCUUUAAUGCUUAGUUGCAUCCUUCACUAAAAUAUGAUGAUGUUCAAAGAGGUUUGGAGCCUUUGUUGUCUCUGUUUUUCAAGAAAAUAUUGAUUUUAUAGUGGUUAUUUUAUCGAUUAAGAAGUAUUAUGAUGUUUUACUAAAUUAAUUGAUAAUCAAAUUAUAACGAUUACCAUAUACCAUGAAAAAGAGCUUAAAUUACAUUACUACAAGUGUAGAAUGUGGUUAGAAAUUUUAAAAUAACACUAACGAUUAAGGCUGUAUAUAAAAAAUUUACCAAAAACUCAAUAUUUUUGUAGAGGUUAACACAUGGUUUUGAAAUUUUUUUAAAAAAAUGACAAUAUUGUUUUAAUGCAUAGUUGCAUCCUGCACUAUCAUAUGAUGAUGUUCAAAGAAGUAUGAAGCCUUUGUUGUCUCUAUUUUUCAAGAGAAUAGUGAUUUUAAAAUGGAUAGUCCACUAAUUUUGGGAGUUUAUGAAGUUUUACUAAAUUAAUUUAUAAAAACAAUUGAACGAUGUUCAUUUACCAUUAAAAAGAGUUUAGCACACAUUAAUAAAAAUGUAUAAUAUGGUUAGAAAUUUUAAAACAAUACUAAAUAUUAUAGGCUUCAAUAUAUAAAGUAUUUACCAAAAACU
Long non-coding RNA from Brassica rapa (field mustard), 926 nucleotides. RefSeq lists it as uncharacterized. NCBI's taxonomy places the organism in Eukaryota, Viridiplantae, Streptophyta, Magnoliopsida, Brassicales, Brassicaceae. The record is from RefSeq and is a predicted model, not a curated record.